UAGUUCAGGUCCUAGUGAAAG
RNAcentral lists this non-coding RNA (21 nucleotides) under Caenorhabditis elegans. Lineage: Eukaryota; Metazoa; Nematoda; Chromadorea; Rhabditida; Rhabditidae. The record is from RNAcentral.